GGAGGGGCGGGGCCGCCCGGCCCGGUUUGCCCUCAGGCGGCGGCCGCGCCCCGCUGGCUCGGAUUGCCCCGGGGCGGCUCGGUGGAGGCCGCGGUUGUGUAGGGCUGUGGUGCCACCGCCACACGGGGCCGCCAGCGGCGACAGCAGGACCUCGGCUGCUCGGGGAAGGCGCCCUGGCCCCGCCGGGCCUGGCCUCAGCAGCCUGCAGCGCCCGGGCUUCGCUUCUCUCAGGAUAAUCGCUGUUUGCAGGUGGUGAGAGGGAAGAGGCCAGUAACCUGCUCGAUGCCUUGUACCAGAACAGAGAUCAGCUGAAUUGGGAAACUCCCGUUUUAAGAUCAGGAUGUGUUUGUGCCUUUCCCUAGGUUCCAGUCCUGACAAAUGACAGAUGUGGAAGACGCUUAGUACGAAUUCAAACUACUGAACUUGCCUAAUGCCAAAUCACCUUUUUCAUACCAGGAGAGGACUAAGAAUGGCUCUCAAAGUAAAGGAAAAUAUAAGCUCCUGGGAGAAAACAUGAAAGUUGUUGUCUUCUACUUGUUGGAAAGGAGAACUGAGAAUCUCGGAAUACUUUACAAGUCUGCAAAGUACUAUCACAAUGCAGGUCUGAUCUGAUGAAAUCACAACUAGUGCUGAUGCCUGCCUAUGAUGGGAAGAGAAUCCAGACUAUAAACCUGGGAUAUCUGGCCUCUUAAUA
Oenanthe melanoleuca is the source of this 694-nucleotide long non-coding RNA. RefSeq lists it as uncharacterized. The record is from RefSeq and is a predicted model, not a curated record. NCBI's taxonomy places the organism in Eukaryota, Metazoa, Chordata, Aves, Passeriformes, Muscicapidae. The transcript is spliced from 4 exons.